Molecule: ribosomal RNA, 445 nt
Filed under: uncultured bacterium
Lineage: Bacteria
Description: bacterial SSU rRNA
Rfam family: Bacterial small subunit ribosomal RNA
Source: RNAcentral
ACCAGACUCCUACGGGAGGCAGCAGUGGGGAAUAUUGCACAAUGGGGGAAACCCUGAUGCAGCGACGCCGCGUGAGUGAAGAAGUAUUUCGGUAUGUAAAGCUCUAUCAGCAGGGAAGAAAAUGACGGUACCUGAUUAAGAAGCCCCGGCUAACUACGUGCCAGCAGCCGCGGUAAUACGUAGGGGGCAAGCGUUAUCCGGAUUUACUGGGUGUAAAGGGAGCGUAGACGGCAGAGCAAGUCUGAAGUGAAAGCCCGCGGCCCAACUGCGGGACUGCUUUGGAAACUGCCCGGCUAGAGUGCUGGAGAGGUAAGUGGAAUUCCUAGUGUAGCGGUGAAAUGCGUAGAUAUUAGGAGGAACACCGGUGGCGAAGGCGGCUUACUGGACCAUAACUGACGUUGAGGCUCGAAAGCGUGGGGAGCGAACAGGAUUAGAUACCCGCGUA